This 253-nucleotide ribosomal RNA is filed under the name uncultured bacterium. RNAcentral describes it as "partial 16S ribosomal RNA". It matches the Rfam family "Bacterial small subunit ribosomal RNA", at positions 524 to 776 of the family's 1533-position model. The record is from RNAcentral.
UACGUAGGUGGCAAGCGUUGUCCGGAUUUACUGGGCGUAAAGAGCGCGCAGGCGGUCGUUCAAGUCGCGUGUGAAAGCCCCCGGCUCAACUGGGGAGGGUCACGCGAUACUGAUCGACUCGAAGGCAGGAGAGGGUAGUGGAAUUCCUGGUGUAGCGGUGAAAUGCGCAGAUAUCAGGAGGAACACCAGCGGCGAAGGCGGCGCUCUGGGCCGGUACUGACACUUAGGAGCGAAAGCGUGGGUAGCAAACAGG